AGAACGACUCUCGGCAACGGAUAUCUCGGCUCUCGCAUCGAUGAAGAACGUAGCAAAAUGCGAUACUUGGUGUGAAUUGCAGAAUCCCGUGAACCAUCGAGUUUUUGAACGCAAGUUGCGCCCGAAGCCAUCAGGUUGAGGGCACGCCUGCCUGGGCGUCUCGC
This 164-nucleotide ribosomal RNA is filed under the name Impatiens kerriae. RNAcentral's name for it is "5.8S ribosomal RNA". It matches the Rfam family "5.8S ribosomal RNA". Rfam says of the family: 5.8S ribosomal RNA (5.8S rRNA) is a component of the large subunit of the eukaryotic ribosome. It is transcribed by RNA polymerase I as part of the 45S precursor that also contains 18S and 28S rRNA. Functionally, it is thought that 5.8S rRNA may be involved in ribosome translocation. The record is from RNAcentral. Lineage: Eukaryota; Viridiplantae; Streptophyta; Magnoliopsida; Ericales; Balsaminaceae.